UGGGGAAUAUUGGGCAAUGGGCGAAAGCCUGACCCAGCAACGCCGCGUGAGGGAAGAAGGUUUUCGGAUUGUAAACCUCUGUCCUAAGUGACGAAGGAAGUGACGGUAGCUUAGGAGGAAGCCCCGGCUAACUACGUGCCAGCAGCCGCGGUAAUACGUAGGGGGCGAGCGUUGUUCGGAAUGACUGGGCGUAAAGGGCGCGUAGGCGGCCGAUCAAGUUGGGAGUGAAAUUCCUGCUUUCAAGGUGGGAACUGCUUUCAAAACUGGUUGGCUUGAGUGCGGAAGAGGUAAGUGGAAUUCCCAGUGUAGCGGUGAAAUGCGUAGGGAUUGGGAGGAACACCAGUGGCGAAGGCGACUUACUGGGCCGUAACUGACGCUCAAGCACGAAAGCGUGGGGAUCAAACA
Molecule: ribosomal RNA, 405 nt
Filed under: uncultured prokaryote
Description: bacterial SSU rRNA
Rfam family: Bacterial small subunit ribosomal RNA
Source: RNAcentral